Molecule: non-coding RNA, 45 nt
Filed under: Trypanosoma brucei brucei
Lineage: Eukaryota; Euglenozoa; Kinetoplastea; Trypanosomatida; Trypanosomatidae
Source: RNAcentral
AUGACAUAACUUGACCGAUAAGAUAAUGAAAGAGACGGUGUAAUU